CUGGCGGCGUGCCUAAUACAUGCAAGUCGAGCGAAUGGAUCAAGAGCUUGCUCUUAUGAAGUUAGCGGCGGACGGGUGAGUAACACGUGGGUAACCUGCCCAUAAGACUGGGAUAACUCCGGGAAACCGGGGCUAAUACCGGAUAACAUUUUGAACUGCAUGGUUCGAAAUUGAAAGGCGGCUUCGGCUGUCACUUAUGGAUGGACCCGCGUCGCAUUAGCUAGUUGGUGAGGUAACGGCUCACCAAGGCAACGAUGCGUAGCCGACCUGAGAGGGUGAUCGGCCACACUGGGACUGAGACACGGCCCAGACUCCUACGGGAGGCAGCAGUAGGGAAUCUUCCGCAAUGGACGAAAGUCUGACGGAGCAACGCCGCGUGAGUGAUGAAGGCUUUCGGGUCGUAAAACUCUGUUGUUAGGGAAGAACAAGUGCUAGUUGAAUAAGCUGGCACCUUGACGGUACCUAACCAGAAAGCCACGGCUAACUACGUGCCAGCAGCCGCGGUAAUACGUAGGUGGCAAGCGUUAUCCGGAAUUAUUGGGCGUAAAGCGCGCGCAGGUGGUUUCUUAAGUCUGAUGUGAAAGCCCACGGCUCAACCGUGGAGGGUCAUUGGAAACUGGGAGACUUGAGUGCAGAAGAGGAAAGUGGAAUUCCAUGUGUAGCGGUGAAAUGCGUAGAGAUAUGGAGGAACACCAGUGGC
RNAcentral lists this ribosomal RNA (700 nucleotides) under Bacillus sp. 4BL. RNAcentral describes it as "bacterial SSU rRNA". It matches the Rfam family "Bacterial small subunit ribosomal RNA", at positions 36 to 716 of the family's 1533-position model. The record is from RNAcentral. Lineage: Bacteria; Bacillati; Bacillota; Bacilli; Caryophanales; Bacillaceae.